GAGAAAGUAAACAAGAGCACACGGGGGAUGCCUAGGCUCUCAGAGGCGACGAAGGACGCGAUAAGCUGCGAUAAGCCGCGGGGAUCGGCACAUACGAAUCGAUCCGCGGAUCUCCGAAUGGGGAAACCUGGCCGGCUGAAGGCCGGCCGCGAUAGCGCAAACCUGCCGAACUGAAACAUCUAAGUAAGCAGAGGAAGAGAAAACAAUAGUGAUUUCCUGAGUAGUGGCGAGCGAAAGGGAAGAAGCCCAAACCCAUAUUGUCAAGGCAAUGUGGGGGUUGUAGGACCACGACAUGAACAACUUAGCCAAGUCGAACGGGAUGGGAAGCCCGGCCAUAGCGCAUGAUAGCUGCGUAGACGUAAACGAUGUUGGGAUAGUGGUAUCCUGAGUACCGCGGGGUCGGAGACGCCCUGUGGGAAUCCGCCAGCACCAUCUGGCAAGGCUAAAUACUCCUGAGAGACCGAUAGUGGACCAGUACCGUGAGGGAAAGGUGAAAAGAACCCCGAACAGGGGAGUGAAAUAGAACCUGAAACCGUGUGCUUACAAGCGGUCGGAGCAGACUUGUUCUGUGACGGCGUGCCUUUUGCAUAAUGAGCCUACGAGUUACUCCUCCCUGGCAAGGUUAAGUGUUUGAGACACGGAGCCGAAGCGAAAGCGAGUCUGAACAGGGCGCACAGUCAGGGGGGGUAGACGCGAAACCUUGUGAUCUACCCAUGGACAGGUUGAAGGUGCCGUAACAGGUACUGGAGGACCGAACCGAUAAACGUUGAAAAGUUUCCGGAUGAUCUGUGGGUAGGGGUGAAAGGCUAAUCAAACUGGGAAAUAGCUCGUACUCCCCGAAAUGUUUUUAGGAACAGCGUGGCGGUUGAGUUUGACAGAGGUAGAGCUACUGAUUGGGUGCGGGGGAGUCAAAUCCUACCAAAUCCAGACAAACUCCGAAUGCUGGUCAAAUAUACGCCGCAGUGAGGCCCGGGGUGCUAAGGUCACGGGCCGAGAGGGAAAGAACCCAGACCAACGGCUAAGGUCCCAAAAUUACCAUUAAGUUGAACUAACGAGGUCCGAUUGCACAGACAGCUAGGAUGUUGGCUUGGAAGCAGCCAUUCAUUUAAAGAGUGCGUAACAGCUCACUAGUCGAGCGGUCGGGCAUGGAUAAUAAACGGGCAUAAAAUGGUAUACCGAAGCCUUGGAUUUGUCCGCCUCUGGCGGAUGAGUGGUAGGGGAGCAUUCCAGUUGCGGCGAAGCCAUACGCGUCAGCGGCGGUGGAGCGGCUGGAAAAGCAAAUGUAGGCAUAAGUAACGAUAAGGCGGGAGAGAAACCCGCCCACCGAAAGACUAAGGUUUCCUGAUCAACGCUAAUCGGAUCAGGGUCAGUCGGGGCCUAAGGUUCACCCGAAAGGGGAAGCCGAUGGACAACUGGUCAACAUUCCAGUACUCUCUAUGGCUGCGAUGGGGCGACGGAGUAGUGACACUGCCGCGGACUGACGGAAUAGUCCGUUGAAGGCCGUAGGUAUUGGCCCGGUAGGCAAAUCCGCCGGGCUAGCUGAAAGCCGAUAGUACCGCAAACCUCCGGGGGCGCGGAUAGCGCAGGUAAUCAGACUUCCAAGAAAACCCCCUAAGCUUCAGGCCAUAGGGACCCGUACCGUAAACCGACACAGGUAGUCGAGGAGAGGAUCCUAAGGUGCUCGAGUGAAUCAUGGCUAAGGAACUCGGCAAAAUGGCCCUGUAACUUCGGGAGAAGGGGCGCCCCGCGGUAAGACGCGGGGCCGCAGUGAAAAGGCCCAGGCGACUGUUUAACAAAAACACAUGGCUUUGCGAAAUCGAGAGAUGAUGUAUAAGGCCUGACACCUGCCCGGUGCCGGAAGGUUAAGAGGGGACGUCAUCCGCCGCAAGGCGGAGAAGCGUUGAAUCGAAGCCCCGGUAAACGGCGGCCGUAACUAUAACGGUCCUAAGGUAGCGAAAUUCCUUGUCGGGUAAGUUCCGACCUGCACGAAUGGUGUAACGAUCUGGGCGCUGUCUCGGCCAUGAGCUCGGUGAAAUUGUGGUCCCGGUGAAGACGCCGGGUACCCGCAACGGGACGGAAAGACCCCAUGAACCUUCACUACAGUUUAACAUUGACAUUGGGUACAGGAUGUGUAGGAUAGGUGGGAGGCAUCGAAGCGGCGUCGCCAGGCGCCGUGGAGCCGACGUUGAAAUACCACCCUUUCUGUAUCCGGUGUCUAAUCCGCCCAGGGCGGAGACAUUGUUUGAUGGGUAGUUUGACUGGGGUGGUCGCCUCCAAAAGUGUAACGGAGGCUUUCAAAGGUAUGCUCAGUACGCUUGGUAACCGUACGGGGAGUGCAAUAGCAUAAGCAUGCUUGACUGUGGGGCCCACGAGCCGAGCAGGGUCGAAAGACGGAUAUAGUGAUCCGGUGGUUCUGCAUGGAAGGGCCAUCGCUCAAAGGAUAAAAGGUACUCUGGGGAUAACAGGCUGAUCUCCCCCAAGAGCUCAUAUCGACGGGGAGGUUUGGCACCUCGAUGUCGGCUCGUCACAUCCUGGGGCUGGAGAAGGUCCCAAGGGUUCGGCUGUUCGCCGAUUAAAGUGGCACGCGAGCUGGGUUCAGAACGUCGCGAGACAGUUCGGUCCCUAUCUGUUGUGGGCGUGGGAGAUUUGAGUGGGGCUGACCUUAGUACGAGAGGACCGGGUUGGACCGACCGCUGGUGAACCUGUUGUCCCGCCAGGGGCACUGCAGGGUAGCUAUGUCGGGGACAGAUAAGCGCUGAAAGCAUCUAAGUGCGAAACUGGCCACGAGAUGAGAUCUCCAUAUAGGGCCGUAGGAGACUACUACGUCGAUAGGCCGCAGGUGUAAAGGUGGCGACACCAAAGCCGAGCGGUACUAAUUGUCCGAUACUUUCCGGG
Molecule: ribosomal RNA, 2895 nt
Filed under: Pedobacter segetis
Lineage: Bacteria; Pseudomonadati; Bacteroidota; Sphingobacteriia; Sphingobacteriales; Sphingobacteriaceae
Description: Pedobacter sp. SD-b 23S ribosomal RNA
Rfam family: Bacterial large subunit ribosomal RNA
Source: RNAcentral